UCAUGUUUUGUUUACUGCUGUGCUCUGUACUGGCUUUGCUGGCAUGCAUCCCACAUUUUUUGGGGUUUUGUUUGCCCCACCAAGAUUUACAUGCUAAAAUCACCACUGGUUGCAAUAUAUAACUUUUUGGGCAACCUCACCAAUUUCACAUACAACUGUGAGUUAUAGAUCUGUCAUUCUUGUUGAAAGCCAGUCUAAAAGCAGUAGAUCUGUUCUAUGUGUACUUUUCUAUGCUUCACGUCCUUAAUUUUUGUUUUUGUGUCUUUUACUUAGAACUUAUAGCCACUUUGGCUUCAUAAACCACCAGAAGCUACUGUUUACCACAAAGAGCAUUUGAUUCUGUCUCAUCUCCUCUACCUUUGUCACAUCUACUCCUGCUCCUGCUCCUCCCCUCCAGCGUUUGACGUCGCCGGUUUACUAACCACCGGUCCUGGGAACCAUCAUUACGCGCACCUGGCAUUCAUCACUAUGCUAACCUGUACUCCAUUACCUCACUUAUUACCUCCCCUUUAUCUGGCACUCCCUUAGGAGUAUUAAUACAGUAUUGUAUUAUUUUGUUCAUGUCUAGACGUGACUCCUACGUUGUAUUUGCCCAUGUUACUUGCUAUAUUAAAUUUACCCCCUGCUUCUCGACUCCCAGCAUCUAGGUUACAGAAUACUGCCUCACAAAAUGGAAGCAGCAGACGGUCGACGAGCAGGGAUACCUACUUUGUCAACACCACGACCAGCUGGCACAAUUGGGGACGGCUAUGGAAGAGGCUCUUCGCAGUGUUCAACAUCUCGAACAUACCCGAGAGGCGUUGCCUUCAACUAGCGGAGGAUACACUACCACCAGUCAACCUAGCACACCAGCCCAUUCAGCAAACUGUGCAGGUCAGCGAUGUCCCUCCCGGAUAAAUAUGACAGCACACCAUGUAAAUGCUGUGGCUUCCGACUACAGUACUCGCUCUACUUUUCGCACCAGAUGGGAGCUCCUACCACUGACAGGUCCAGGGUUGCCACAGUUAUUUCUCUGCUGACUGGGCGGGCAUUGGAAUGGGCCAUAGACGUCUGGGAGAGAGGAGGAACUGGAUUCGUAUGAGGGGUUCAUGGCUCGGUUCAGAGAUCUUCGAUCAUCCACUGGAGGGCAGAGAGAGGGGUGAGUGCCUACUCCAACUACGGAGGACCAGACGGCUGCCGAGUACGCGCUCACCUUCUGGACAGUAGCAGCAUCCAGCGGCUGGACUGUGCGAGAAGGUUCAGAUGGAACUGGCCUGUCGAUGACAACCUCUGCUUGAAAGCACUCAUCGCGAUGGCCAUCCACUUGGAUAACCUUCUUCGGGAGCAUCGGCACUCAUCGCUUCUCUCCCUCCCUCAGUGAAAACUUUGUAUCAGAGCCUGAACCCAUGGCGGUAGGGGUCACUUGCCUCCCCGCGGCAGAGCAAUGCAGACUGCGACAGCUGGGGCUGUCUCUAUUGUGGUCAAGGAGGGCACCUGCUCCAGCAGUGUCCGAUAUGGCCCAACUCGGAUCCACGAGAGUAGAGGGAUGUUCACGUGAUCUUUUACCUCCUGGGGCAGGUGUGAGUAUCCCCCUCAUCACUUUCUGCCAAACCCUUUUUGGUGGCGAUCGCACUAUUUGACUGUCCCUCAUGUACUGUUUCUACAGCAAUAAUGGAUUCCUGUGCCGCGGGGAACUUUAUUGACCAGACCCUUGCCUCUCAACUUCACCUCAUACCCGCUCUCCUCUCCUUUCGCGGUUCAAGCCCUCGAUAAUCAGCAACUAGGUUCCGGGACCAUCAGACACGUCAUCAAACCACUCACUGCGCCCCCACGCAGAUGCCGCUACCCUCUGUCGGUGGCUGAAACCCAGGCCAUGGAAGAGUACAUCCAUGAGGCGCUCCAACUAGGUUUCAUCCGCAGGUCCACUUCUCCUGUGUCAGCAGGUUAAUUCUUCAUGGCCAAGGAUGGAGGGUUACGCCCAUGUAUUGAUUAGAGGACUCAAUGAAGUCGCCACCAAGUACCGUUACCCUCUCCCAUUGGUGCCCGGCAGCUAUCAAAGAGCUCCGCGGGGCCCAGUUCUUUACCAAAUUGGACCUACGGAGUGCAUACAAUCUCAUCCGCAUCUGGGAGGGGAAUGAAUGGAAGACAGCUUUUAGCACAAUAUCUGGUCACUACGAGUGUUCCAGGCAUUCGUCAACGAGGUGUUUCGGGACAUGCUCUGACGCCAGGUGGUCGUGUAUAGCGACAUCCUGGUUUACUCGGCAACCUUGGAGGGUCACAUUGAGUGGAUGAUAAAUGAAGACCCCGAUGAGAGACCUACAGUGGAGUAAACCCUGACUCAUCCCUCCUUCUGGAAACCACAGAGGAGAGUUGGGAAUGAGAGGUCGGGAAGUGUCAUGAUGCUGACCCAGAGCUUCUCGACGUGCUGUGGAGAGAACCUUCUGUCAGUGGAGAUCCAAGCUGCCCUCUGCUUUGAUGAAAAAGAUGGCUGGCAGAAAGCCCUUCCCUGAGAACAUGUUGGGGUUACUACGCUUCAUACGCAACCUCCAUGAGCACUAUGCUGAGGAUUUAGCAUCUGACCUGAUGGUCCCUGAUCUCUUUGGAUGCGUCUACAUGUUGGCCAAGAAACAGGGGUGUGUCAAAAAAAGACAGUUAUGUUGCUCUUUGAUAGCCUUUAUUAUAUUGAGAGGUGCAUUAACAUUUUAGGGUGGUUAAUAGAAAACUGUUGAUGAUCAAACCUAGGUAGGAAACGGUUAUUAACAUUUUAUUUUGCAGUGUUUGGUAAUUUAGUAUGCAAAUAAUGAUGACUCUCCUACAUAGUUUGUCAAAUGCAGUGUACCUGCUGAGAGAUGGAGGGGAUGAGAGGUGAGAACAUCAAUCUCAUCUUCAUGUAUGACAUUACAUGCAAGAUCUAACCACAUGUGCAAGUAAUUAACCUUUGUUAUUCAAGAUCCCAUUUACUUUAACAUUUGAAUAGCAGUUUUCACACUUUUUUUAAAACAUUUUGUUAAACUUUUUAGAUAUACAUUCCUGAAUUGAAGCAUGGGACCAAAUCUGUCAGUUUUCCAUGCUUACGGACACGACUUGCCAUGUCGGGUACUUGAACAUGAUCAUUAAUAUUGUCACUAGGUAUUUAAUGUUUUUAAGGUUUAACUAAAUCCUUUUUGCCAUGGUAUGACAUGUUUUAUAUUUGUAGAUGAAAUUCAACACAAGAUGUGUUGAAGGUGCUGGACUGGGAAAUGGGAAGCAGAUGGAGAUGCUGUGGUCGUAUCUGAGGCACUUUGGGAAGGUCACUAGAUGACGCCGUCCCAUCGUAUUGACCUCCUGACUGAUGCCCUUCACCAUGGGAAAAGAUGUGCCAGAGGCAACUGGACGAAAGUUGCAACAGAAGCAGAAUGGAAAAUGGCAGAAAUUGCAGUCUCUAACAGGGCCCAGCAGGAAAGUGGAGAUGGAAUAGCUGUUGCUCAGCUUAUGCAGAUCGAAAACUGAAGACGAUGGAGAGGAAGAACGGCAUCCUCCAUCGAUGGUCCCCCACCAGCAGUCUCUUCCAGACUGCACUCCACAGACUGCAGAGUAACAGAUUGAAGACCAAUUUGGAAGGAACAUUCAGUCUGGUGCUAGAACGGAGGUUACUCUGUGGCCUGAAGAGAUAAUAUGCAGGAAAUAUAUAUUCAACAAUAGGAACAAGUCAACUCAUAUCAGUUCUAUGAUAUUUCUGGAUGGUCAAGGUAUUGCCAACCGCCUGUCCAAAAAGCUUGCCACGGUCGGUAGUAGCAUACUCUUUAAAAAAAAAACGUUUUUUAAGGACUACAACCUGAGACCAGGUUUUUCCUCACAGCUCUCACAAGUCCUGGUGUAUGAGGAUGCAGUGCAGGUGGACAGCACUGUUUGGUCCUGGAGAGCAGGAAGAGCAGAGGAUGAUGGGGAGUUUCACUUCAAGCAAAGGCUCUCUGUGCUCCAUUCCCUCAGAACGGGCGUGUGAAGAUAACUGGUACAUUGAGGAUGAAGCCAUCACUGCCAAGAAGUUCUACUCACAUGAGCAGGAACUGAUCGUGGAGGCCUUACAACAUUACACAGAGCAAGAUGGAUUUAGUCUUGGGGCAAGAGCUGUCCUUGCUGGAAUGCUUGCUGAGCAUCAGCAUGCAGAAGGACAAAGUGAAUUGUUCAGAAGUGCUUUUUUGAGGGCAGCGGUAUAAACAUUGAAGUGGAGGACAUUGAGGAAGUGGAUGAGGAUGAUGACUAUGAUGGGGAUUACGACAACGAUGGUGAUAUUGAUGGAGGAAAAAAUGUAUGAGGCUGAGUGUGUCUAAUUGUUGUUUGUUUCUUGUCCAUUCUGUUUUAAUGUAUGUAAUUCAGUGGUGUACAGUAUUUAAGUAAAAAAAGGGGGGUAAAAUGAAAAAAUAUUAAACAUACAACAAAAAUUGUAUGUUUUGUUAUUUUUGGGUUAAAGGAAGCACUCUGGCCAUUUCUGUUUAAUUGUUAGAUGUGAUAUAUAGGCCAUUCUUUCAUGUCAUUUACCAUUUAUGUCAUGGUGAGGGGAACCUGACGUGAACCUGCUAUACCCCAACCUGAGUCUAAUGCAAUAGACAGGUUUGCUUCCUCCAAAGUAUUGUAUUUUCAUUGACUUGUUAGUUGUGGAGUUUGUAAACAUCAAUUUAGAUAAUUUUGUAAAUAUUGUAAUUUGAACAUCUAAAUCACUGUUGUCAUUUUUAAAAUAAAUAACUUCUGCAUGUGAUCCUGCCUGCCUCCUGCAACAUUUAACCAUCCAAAAAUGGAUUUAGCAACAAAUGAUUCUAGCUUUAAGGAUUAAGUGUAAAUAUUACAGAGAAAAACAAAUAGAGAUCAAGCCUUGUAGACUCAUAAUUUCUGAUAACUAUACUUUGCUGGAUAGAGGAGACUCGAGGCCAUGGUGUGGUCGAAGUAGCACAUAAAUAAUUAUUCUGGUACAUGCAUUUAGGGCC
This is a non-coding RNA of Salmo salar (Atlantic salmon), 4940 nucleotides long. The record is from RefSeq and is a predicted model, not a curated record. Lineage: Eukaryota; Metazoa; Chordata; Actinopteri; Salmoniformes; Salmonidae.